AUUGGACGCUGGCGGCAUGCUUACACAUGCAAGUCGAACGGCAGCACGGAGCUUGCUCUGGUGGCGAGUGGCGAACGGGUGAGUAAAAUAUCGGAACGUACCCAGGAGUGGGGGAUAACGUAGCGAAAGUUACGCUAAUACCGCAUACGUCCUAAGGGAGAAAGUGGGGGCUCGCAAGACCUCAUGCUCAUGGAGCGGCCGAUAUCUGAUUAGCUAGUUGGUAGGGUAAAAGCCUACCAAGGCAACGAUCAGUAGCUGGUCUGAGAGGACGACCAGCCACACUGGAACUGAGACACGGUCCAGACUCCUACGGGAGGCAGCAGUGGGGAAUUUUGGACAAUGGGGGCAACCCUGAUCCAGCAAUGCCGCGUGAGUGAAGAAGGCCUUCGGGUUGUAAAGCUCUUUUGUCAGGGAAGAAAAAGGAUUGGCUAAUAUCUGAUCCUCAUGACGGUACCUGAAGAAUAAGCACCGGCUAACUACGUGCCAGCAGCCGCGGUAAUACGUAGGGUGCAAGCGUUAAUCGGAAUUACUGGGCGUAAAGCGUGCGCAGGCGGUUUUGUAAGACUGUCGUGAAAUCCCCGGGCUCAACCUGGGAAUGGCGAUGGUGACUGCAAGGCUAGAGUUUGGCAGAGGGGGGUAGAAUUCCACGUGUAGCAGUGAAAUGCGUAGAUAUGUGGAGGAACACCGAUGGCGAAGGCAGCCCCCUGGGUCAAAACUGACGCUCAUGCACGAAAGCGUGGGGAGCAAACAGGAUUAGAUACCCUGGUAGUCCACGCCCUAAACGAUGUCUACUAGUUGUCGGGUCUUAAUUGACUUGGUAACGCAGCUAACGCGUGAAGUAGACCGCCUGGGGAGUACGGUCGCAAGAUUAA
This 872-nucleotide ribosomal RNA is filed under the name uncultured bacterium. RNAcentral's name for it is "bacterial SSU rRNA". It matches the Rfam family "Bacterial small subunit ribosomal RNA", at positions 28 to 897 of the family's 1533-position model. The record is from RNAcentral.